This is a non-coding RNA of Sus scrofa (pig), 1714 nucleotides long. NCBI's taxonomy places the organism in Eukaryota, Metazoa, Chordata, Mammalia, Artiodactyla, Suidae. The record is from RefSeq and is a predicted model, not a curated record.
UGACAGAUUACAGAAGCGAGAAAGAGUCCAGCUUAGGGUCGCCCUCAGUGACCUCUCUCUCAAGACGCCCAGGGCCCUGCUGAGAAGCACCCUCGCCCUGGAGGGCAGCACAGCAGGGCCUGCUCGGGGCCCGCUCCACAAACCGCAGGCUGUGGACACUCCCUUCCAUGGAGCCUGGGAGUGAGCAGGUGAGCGGGCCCCGGGCCGGGUUUCCGACCCUGCCCACUGUGCCGCCGUGGACCCCGAGGGGAGGGGUGGUGUUCGGUCAUCCAGACCCCAGCACUGCUGGGAGUGAGUGUGAACAGGACUGUAAUUAGGCCAGAGCAGCCGCACAAACCCAGACUGUCCUAGACAGAGCAGGACGGACCCCUGGGCUGACCCGAGGCUGGGACAAAUUUCUGCUAAAAUUGUGUAGAGCCCCAUGGCAACAGCCACUGGGGACGACUCUGCACACGCAACAGCUGGGUAAAGAGAGUCACUGCCCCUGCAACUGCCCCUGCACUGCUUACAAGGGUGACACGGGACAGCUGGAGGGUCAGAGGCUGCCGUGGGGCUGUCUCAGCCUCAGGCAACCCGUUCCCGUGCCCCCUGCUCCCAGCCAAACCCCACAGACGAUCUGCUGCUCAGUACGCACCAUACUGGGAAGAGAAACACGUCCUCACCACCCCCCCCUUAUCUCUGAGAACCUAAACAGGGAUUUAAUCAAAACAUUUGCCAAGCCCACUGCUCCUGGAGCCAGAACAUGGAAAACUGCUCUGCAAACCAUAACACUUAUUUUGAGAAGUUAAAUGUUCUCCAGAAAUCACGUGGUUUCUUUGUGUCACCUAGAAACAUACAACAAAGAAAGUGACUAAGGGGGAAAGGGGCGGUUUAGCCAGUGUUGUGCUCAGGGCAUCUGGGCUGCGCACAUGGGCUGGGUCAGAGGAAAUGACUCAGUCUUUAAUUUGCAAACUCGCUCUGGCCAUAGAACAUCUGAGGAAUAAUUACCAACCACCGAUUCAAACUGUCUUCGGCUAACACAGAAGAUGCUGCUAAGUGAGGAAGACGAGUCGGACGCAAACGUACUGUGAUGGGGAAUUUCAGGAAACCUUGCAGCUAAUAGGAUUUUGAACCUGUAUAUUAAACUAAACACAGCGAGGCCAUCUCUGCGGCCCUGCUGACAGCAGCCGGUCACUUCAGGACUCUCCCCAUCCUGCUUCUGAUCCACCAAACCUGAUGGUCCACCCUGAGCAGAGUCUGUGGCGAAAGGCAAAUGAAAGACUCACCCCCACCGUCUCCAAGGAGCUGGGGCACUUGUACGUUUCUAAGGAGAAACACUAUCUGCAAAGGAAAAAGCCAUGGCUCACUGGGGGGGAGAAUGGCUCCUCCACACCCGGGCCCAUCCCUCCCGGGACGGCGCCCAAGGGCUGGGCCCACACCAUGGCUGGACUCGCCCCAGAUCUGCAGCAGGCCCGUGGCAGUUGGACAGAUCACACUGCCAGCCCAAACCCCAGCAGAAAUGCUAGUGUUUUCCAGCCAGGGCACUUCCUGCAUGCUUUCCGCUCAAGAAAAAAACCCCAAAUGCUCCAUUUAAAGGAUGGCUAUGGACCUGCUCCACUGUUUCGGAGUGUUGGUAACCUCAAAAGCUCUAGGUGAACUUAGAAACUAGACAGAGACAAACUGUUGGAUAAAUCGCUGAAUGAUGCUUUAAAAAAUAAAACCAGGAGUUCCCGUG